This 201-nucleotide ribosomal RNA is filed under the name uncultured Nevskia sp. Its description in RNAcentral is "partial 16S ribosomal RNA". It matches the Rfam family "Bacterial small subunit ribosomal RNA", at positions 334 to 526 of the family's 1533-position model. Lineage: Bacteria; Pseudomonadati; Pseudomonadota; Gammaproteobacteria; Nevskiales; Nevskiaceae. The record is from RNAcentral.
UAUUCUUCCGGGAGGCAGCAGUGGGGAUUAUUGGCCAAUGGGGGAAAGCUUGUUCCAGCCAAUCGCGCGUGUGUGAAGACGUCUCUUCGGGUUGUAAAGCACUUUAAGUUGGGAAGAGAGGGCUUCGAUUAAUACUUGAAGUCUUGACGGUACCGACAGAAUAAGCACCGGCUAACUCUGUGCCAGCAGCCGCGGUAAUAC